UGGGAAUGGAUCAAGUAAGUGCAGUCAGGGAGAUGCUGAGGAUUACGGAUCAGGAAUCCAACACGGCUUUACAUGAAGCAGCAGGGUGUGGCAAUGUUGAAGUGGUGAAAGCAUUGUUGGAGUUUGAAGUCCCUGAUUUUCCGUAUUCUGCCAAUAAAAAACAGGAGACUCCACUUUAUAUUGCAGCUAAGAGAGGAGACGGCGGCGUGCUGAGUGUAAUAUUAGAUAAAUCAAAAUCAGCAGCUCAUGGCGGCCCCCACGGUAGAACAGCUUUGCAUGCAGCAGCUAUGGCUGGAGAUGCAGGUAUGUUGUUGAGUUAGUUCCAUUUUUUUUUUAAUUUGAAAUAAAUAAAGAACAGGUCUAUUGACAUUUUUUUUUUUUGCUUGGAUUUAGAGGCAAUAAGGAUAAUAUUAGAGAAGAAGGGGAAUUUGACAAAGGAAAGAGAUGAAGAUGGACACACCCCUCUUCAUUAUGCUGCACACUUGGGUUCUAGAUUAUCAGUUGUGGAAGAACUGUUAAAAAGGGAUGUGUCAGCUGCCUAUAUAGGUGAUAAAAAGAGGGGGAUGACACCCCUUCUUAUGGCAGCCAGGGAAGGUAAUGGUGGAACAAGGGCAAAGAUUCUCUCUUUAUGUCCAGAUUGUUGCGAAAAAGUGGACAAUAAAGGUUUGAAUUUACUUCAUUAUACGGCUUUUAAAGACUGUCUUCCCAUCAGGGAGUUCUGUUUUUAAGCGUGGUGGUGUUGAGAUUGUAUAUGGAUCAGUUAGAAAUCUAACGGAGUUGGAAGGUGCCUGUAAAAUCUAAUGGUUUUGCAUUUCCAUGGCUACUGUUUUAUUAAUAUUUAAGUUUUGAGUUAACAUAUUUAAUAAACCUAUAAUACAAUCGGUUAAUGUGGGUGGCAUGACAGAAGCAAAUCAAAGAUUUGUUGGAAGAAAUUGAGAAUGAUCAAGUGGCAUAGGAACCAGUUCGUCACUUUCACUUACCAAAUGUUUCUAUAAAAAGAUUGGAGGCUAUAAGAAAUACUCAUUUAAUAGUGGCAGCACUUAUAGCCACCAUCACCUUCGCAGCGGUAAUAACUGUUCCUGGUGGUUUGGAGAGUGAAAAGGGGUCAAAGCAAGGUAAUCCCUUUUUGAUUCAUGAGGCAGCCUUUAAAGCAUUUGUUGUAAAUUGGCCUUUAUUUUCUCUGUUUCUGCCUGUUGGGAUUUGGAGAAUGAUAGAUGAAGGUUAACAGAGCUUGAGCAACAAUGCUGUAUGUUUGCUGGUGAAAUAAACAGAAUCGGGCUUGGGAACAAAGAAAAUGAAAAACAAGAAAAGAGAGUUUUGGAUGAAAUUUUGAAAAUGAUUUCAUUAACAUUGAUUGAAGGCACAAAGCCAAUACAUAAACCAGACAUUUAGCCGGUCAAAUCAAAACAAAUUGUCACCUAACAUUACCUACUAUCACUAAGUAACAUUGGAACUUAUGAAAACAUUGCUUGCACACAUAGGUAUACUGAUUUAUCAAUCUAUCAGUACCUAAUUACAUCAAAACAAUAUCAAUUUAGUUCAAAUCUGACUAAAUUACAAAGCGAUAUUUAAGGUAACAAAACGAAAUGAAAUACAAUAGCAGUAAUGUGCUUCAGCAGCUGCAUGCAUACUUCAUGUGUUGUAAGUGCGGCUUGAUCUGCUUGUUCAUACUUUAUGUGCUGUAAAUGCGGUAUCCAGGCCAACUUCAACACUCCUCCUUGGCUUGCAUGCUGCAUACUCCCAUUUUAGCUCUCAAAUGCACGAACCUUGAACACUAAUGGGCUUUGUUAAGAUAUCAGCAAGUUGUUCUUUAGAACUGCAAUGAAUUAGCUUCACUUCUUGAGCUUGCUCCAUCUCUCUAACAAAGUGAAAUUUGAUCUUGAAGUGUUUCAUUCUUCCAUGGAAUACUGAAUUCUUUGCAAUUGCAACAGCAGAUUGGUUGUCACAAUUGAUCUCUGUCGCUUCCCUUGGUGUAGAUUCAAGUCAGCCAUGAUUUUUCUUAUCCAAAUGGCUUGAUUGAUAGCAAUAGCAGCUGCUACAUAUUCUGCUUCAGUAGUUGAUUGAGCAACAACAUUUUGCUUCUUCGAAUUCCAGCAAAAAAUGGCUUAUCCAAAAGUAAAAACAUACCUUGAUGUACUCUUCAUGUUAUCUAUCGAUCCAACCCAAUCACUAUCAGCAUAACCAACCACUUUCGUAUUUUUAGCUUUGCUAAAUAGCAUUCCAUAGCUCAAUGUACCUUUGAUGUACCUGAGAACUCUUUUGGUAGGUUGAAAGUGAUUUUCAUUGCAGCAAUGCAUGAAUCUAGAUAGCAGACUCACAAUAAACAUGAUGUCUGGUCUAGUGGCAGUAAGAUAUCGCAAACAACCUACCAAGCUCCUAUAGACAGAUUCACUAACCUGCUCAAAGUCACCUUGGCUCGAUAGUUUCUCUCUAAUGGCAACUUGUGUGUUUGAUGCCUUACAAUUUUGCAUGGAGAAUUUGUUCAGAAUCUUGGAGACAAAAGCCUUCUGACUUAGGAAGAUUCCAUGUUGUGUUUGAGUCGCUUCCAUACCAAGGAAGUAAGACAUUUGCCCCAAAUCUGACAUCUCGAACAUGUGUUCCAUCUUGGCUUUGAAAUCAGCUAGCAUUUCAUGAUCUCCUCCAGUUACUAGCAGGUUAUCAACGUAUAGGAACACUAUUAGUUGAGUUUCACUACCUUGCUUCUUCACAUACAAGGUAGGUUCACUGAUGCUUCUUUCAAAUCCAAGGCUAGCUAGGUAGCCAUCGAUCCUGCUAUACCAAACUCUUGGUGCUUGUUUCAAACAAUACAAGGCUUUCUUCAGUUUGUACACCUUGUCCUCUUCACCUGCCACUUUAAAACCUUCAGGUUGCUCAACAUAGAUUUUUUCAUCAAGAAACCCAUUGAGGAAUGCUAAUUUUACAUCAAGCUGAUGAAUUUUCCACUGCAUUUGUGCUGCUAAGGCAACUAGCAGCCUUAUGGUGUCAAGCCUAGCUACUGGUGCAAAGGUUUCAAAGUAGUCAAUGCCGUACUUUUGGCUGAACCUUUUUACAACCAGCCUUGCUUUUAGUUUGCUCAAGCUUCCUUCAGCAUUGUGCUUGGCUCGAAACACCCAUUUCACCCUAAUAACCUUUCUAUUUGCUGGUCUCUCAACUAGCAGCCAAGUCUGAUUAUUUUCAGUCAUUCUGAUUUCAUCAGCCAUUGCCUAUUUCCAGCCUUGUUGAGCUUCAACUUCUUCGAAGCAGCUUGGUUCAACUGCUGCCACUUGAGCUAUUUCAUAAAUCGCAGCUAAUGGUCUAGUGCCCCUGACUGGUUCAUUAUCAAUGUCCAUUUCAAGGCCAUUUUGAUCAGCUUUAGUCUGAUCUGUCAGUAAAUCUUCAAAGACUGCCUCUGGUUCAUUCUUCUCUCAAUUCCAACUUGAAUUCUCAUCAAAGACUACAUCUUUGCUCACAAGCACUUUGUUGCAUGAAGGAUCUAGGAUUCUGUAGCCUUUCUUCAUACUGCUAUAUCCCAUCAGGAUGCCAGGUUAGGAUGCAGUGAUUUUCUUAUGAUUGAACUCGCAUUGAGUUUCAUAGUUCACUUCUCUUUUAUUUCCAUCUUUACAGAUAAUCCACCAAGUUAGGAUGCAGACUCGGCAUACAGAGGACUCGACUCGGGUUUUAUUUAUUAAAAUAUUUUGGAUUUAUUAUUCAAAAUUUUUCGUUAUUCAGGAACUAUAAUAUCUUAUUUAAAUCAUGGCAUGAGACUUAGGUUUUUGUUUAAUUUAUCAUGUAUGACAUAUAAUAUAAUUUAAUAUAUUAUUUUUAAUUAAUUAAGCAUGAAAUAUGAUUUUAAUAAAAUUAAGUUGAAAAUCAUUUUUCCAUUGCUAAAUUAUAGUUUAGUAUUGAGUUGUAAAUAAAUCAGAAAAUUUAACUAAUUUUCAAUCUCAUGUGUUAUACUGAAAAUAAGCUAAGUUUUCCAUAUUUUAAAUUGGUCAUUUUUUAAACUUUGAUCGCUAUUGGGCUAUUUCAGUGGCCGAUAUAAUCUCUCAAAUUUAGAUCUAAUGUAUAGGCUGAGUUGAAGAGGUUACAACAAGAUGCAAGAUUAAUGUUGUUUUGUUUGAAGUAUAAAAUUAGUAAAACACAUAGCAAGGAUAACAUUGUUGGAGAUUAUGGUAUGCUAAAAUGUUGAAGUAGGGAAUUUGACAAAGGAAAGAGAUGACACCUCAACAGUUUAUGAUGCACUUCGAUAUGAGUCAUCACGAGAAAUAUCAGUGUGAAAAGGUGUGUGUAUUUCUAUGACCAAGAGCUAUGGUUUUAUUAACAUAUAUAUAUAUAUAUAAUAGACCUACAUUACAAUACAAUCGGCUAAUGUGGGUGGCAUGCCAUAAGCAAAUUGAAGAAUUGUUGAAAGAUAUUGCACUUGAAGAAGUAGCCAAGUUACCAUUUUUUCACAUUCCCUUAUUAACUGUCUCAGCAGAAAGCUUGGAGAAGACAGGAGAUAUUCAUUUAGUAGUGGCGGCAUUUAUAGCCACUGUGGCAUUCGUAGCAACCAUAACUGUUCCAAGUGAUUUCAAGGGUGAAAAAAUGUCAGAGCGGGGAACUCCUUUUCUAAUUUACGAGGCAGCCUUUAAAGCAUUUGUUAUGCAUUGGCCUUUAUUCUCUUUGUUUUUGCCCUCUCCAUCCACUUUGGAAUUUUGGAUCCUCUUUUAUCAAAAAUAAAUUAUUGAGAUAUUAAUAUAAUUUUAUAUUAAACCCAGUUCAUGUCUAAUGUCCUUGGUGACUGCUUUCCACAUAGGUGGUUAUGUGAUUUUAAAACCUUCUCAUAGACUUGCAUAUUGUUUCAUCUGCCCUGCCUUUUUUGUUCAAUUCUUCUCCUUCUUUGCCAAGUAUUUUCUUUACAGUUUCCUUAAACCCAAAUUUCACCGUAAAAAACUCCUCCUUUAUUGACCUGACCUCUAACCAGAGAUUUUCGUUUUGUUUAAAGUAAAAUUAUAAAGUUAAUAAAGCACAAAGCAAGAAUAGUACUUAGGGCAGCAUCGCCUUGACCACAAAGAGCUGUUCACCCCAUUUUCUUCCCUUCUUUUUCUUCAAUUCUUCUUCUUUGCCAAGUGUUUUCUUUACAGUUUCCUUAAACCCAAAUUUCACCAUAAAACCUCCUACUUUAUUGACCUGACCUCUAACCCUGUAUAUUACUAUUACUAAAGUGUUCAAGUAUGAAACUAUAUAUAUAUAGUUGUAGGUGACUUGAAUGGAGGAUAUGCAAGCAACAAACAAAUAGGUAUGGCAUUUGGUAAAUUUCUUAAUUUGCAGUUUUUUUUUUUCUUGAGCUUGGGAUGUUUCAAGAUAAUUAAUUAAAUUUUGUUUGGUGUUAUAUCCAGGUAGAAAUAGAUCAACAAAAAUGGGACCUCAGGAGCCUGAAGAGAACAUCAGUCACAUGGAUGCUUCGCUCUAUAAGGCAGCAGCAGAAGGCAACAUUGAAGUAUUCAAUAAUAAGCAGGGACUUCAACUUGAGUCGCUAAAGACCCCAAACCAUGACAACGUCCUCCAUGUUAACUUGGCAACCCAGGAGACUGCCGCCUGGCUUUUAAACAGAUUUCACUCAUGCGAUCCGGUUAUGAGUUUUUUCAUUACUAUGAUAAAAAGAGAAAAAAGAUCAGAUUUUAUCGAACAAAUUCUCAGCAAGUGUCCGUCACUGCUACUCCAAACGAAUGCUAAAGGUCAAACUCCUUUACACGUUGCAGCAAGGAAUGGACAUUCUGCUAUUGUGAAACUUCUAAUCAAGUUUUGCGCAAAAGCUAGAGAUGGAGAUUUAGAGAAGCUGGGAAUGGAUCAAGUAAAUGCAGUGAGGGAGAUGCUGAGGAUUACGGAUCAGGAAUCCAACAUGGCUUUACACAAAGCAGCACGUUGUGGCAAUGUUGAAGUGGCGAAAGCAUUGUUGGAGUUUGAAGACCCUGAAUUUCCGUAUUCUGCCAACAAAAAACAGGAGACUCCACUUUACAUAGCAGCUAGGAGGAGAGGAUCUGGGCGCUUGUUGACUCUAUUAUUAGAUAAAUUCAAAUCAACUGCUCAUGGCGGCCCUCACGGUAGAACAGCUUUGCAUGCAGCAGCUAUGGCUGGUGAUGCAGGUAUGUUGUUGAGUUAGUUCCAUUUUUUCUUUUUUUGAAAUAAAUAGAGAACAGGUCUAUUGAUUUUUUUUUUUUUUUGCUUGGAUUUAGAGGCAAUAAAGGUAAUAUUAAAUAAGAAGGGAAAUUUGACAAAGGAAAGAGAUGAAGAUGGACACACCCCUCUCCAUUAUGCUGCACACCUUGGUAAUAGAUUGUCAGUUGUGAAAGAACUGUUAAAAAGGGAUGUAACAGCUGCCUAUAUAGGUGAUAAAAUGAGGGGGAUGGCACCCCUUCUUAUGGCAGCGAGGCAAGGUCAUCUUUUAACAGUUUCAAAGAUUCUCUCUUUAUGUCCAGAUUGUUGUGAAAAAGUGGACAACAAAAGUUUGAAUGUACUUCAUUAUCUGGCUUUUAGAGGCUCUCUGUUGGAACAAUGGCAGUAGCAAAGAAAGCAAAAACGAAUGAAAGAAAACAAAAGAAAAAGAACUCAGCAAGAAAAUUUGUAACUGAAAAGUCAUCAUAGUUUCAUUCAAAUUUUGAAUAUAUGAAGAUUACAAAAGUAUUUGACAGUUACCUACUAAUUUAACUGCUCUUACUUAAUACUUACUAAAAAUAUAGCAACUUGUAUACAAAAGAAAGCUGGCAUACCAGCUAUUACAUCAGUCAAUCUUUCCUACUAACUUAGCUAACUCAUUACAAAGAUUUAGGCUAAGUUCCAUAGGAACAAAUAUUCAAAAAAUAAUUUUAUAACUGAACCAACUCCAUUUCUUUGCUACAAAACAGUAUAGUAGCUAAAAUUGUACAAUUUGCCGCUGUUGGUCUUUUGACCAAUUUGUUGCUGUUGGUUCUUUGUUGCAAUGCAGGCCACGGCUUCAACACUCCUCCUUGGUCUGUAUGCAACAAACACCAAUCCUUUCCUUCAAAGCAUUAAAUCGGUUGGCUCCCAAUGGUUUAGUUAAAAUGUCAGCUAGCUGAAUUUCUGAGCUGCAAUGAACUAAGCUAACCUCCCUAGAUUGCUCAGCUUCUCUAACAAAAUGGAAUUUAAUUUUGAAGUGUUUAGUCUUACCAUGGAAGACUGGAUUCUUGGCUAUGGCCACAGUUGAUUGAUUAUCCACUCUAAUCUCAGUAGGCUGAACUUGACUUUCAUUCAAAUCAUCCAAAAUCUUCCUAAGCCAAAUGGCUUGGUUCACAGCUGCUGCAGCUGAGAUAUACUCAGCCUCUGCUGUAGAUUGUGCAACAGUUUGUUGCUUCUUGGAACUCCAGCUGAAAACACUCGAGCCUAAGGUGAAAAAAUAACCUGAAGUGCUCCUCAUGUCAUCAACUGACCCUGCCCAAUCGCUAUCAGAAUAGCCUACGAGUUUCAGCUCCUUUGCCCUCCAAAACUUCACACCAGUAUCGAUGGUUCCUUUGACAUACCUUAACACUCUUUUUGCUGCCUUCAGAUGUGCCACAUUACUGCAGUGCAUAAACCUUGAAAGUAGACUAACAGCAUAGACAAUGUCUGGUCUAGUUGCUGUUAAAUAAAGCAAACAACCAAUUAAGCUUCUAUAUGCCUUCUCAUCUACUCGAUCAUGUUCACUGGCACUUGACAAUUUUUCUCCCAAUGCAACUGGUGUAGUGACUGAUUUGCAUUUCAACAUGAAAAAUUUUUCAAGCACCUUGGAAGUAAAUGUUUACUGACUUAUGAAAAUGCCAUCACUUCCUUGUUUUAUCUCCAUGCCAAGAAAGUAGGUCAUCAGACCAAGGUCAGUCAUCUCAAAGACAUGUUGCAUCUGUUUCUUGAAGUCUUCAAUAAGUUCAUCUUUGCAGCCAAUAACCAACAGAUCAUCAACAUACAAGGAAACAAUUAACAAGGUUUCCUCCUGAUCCUUCUUAACAUAGAGUGUAGGCUCACUGAUACUCUUUGUGAACCCGAGCAUUGCUAAGUAGCCAUCAAUCCUCUCAUACCAGGCCCUUGGAGCCUGUUUUAGACCAUACAAAGCCUUUUUCAGCUUGUAGACCUUCUGUUCUUCACCAGUGACCUUAAAACCCUCAGGUUGCUCAAUGAAUAUUUCUUCAUUAAGAAAUCCAUUUAGAAAGGCUGACUUAACAUCCAGAUGAUGCACCUUCCAAUGCUUUUGAGCUGCCAAAGCUAGCAGCAAUCUGAUAGUAUCCAACCUUGCAACAGGUGCAAAGGUUUCAGAAAAAUCAACCCCUUGCUGCUGACUAUAACCUUUAACAACCAGUCUGGCCUUAUGUCUAUUAAGAGAGCCAUCUGCAUUGUUCUUAAUUCUAUAGACCCACUUUACACCUAUAAUUUUUCUGUUUUCAGGUCUGUUUACAAGCUCCCAUGUAUCAUUUUUCUGAAUCAUUUUAAAUUCAGCUUCCAUAGCAUCCUGCCAGCAUUUUUCUUUUGCAGCUUCUUCAAAACAUGAAGGCUCUACUAUAGUUACUGUACAUCUCUCAUAGAUGUCAGUUAAUGUCCUGGUGCCUCGAACAGGUUGAUCAUCAUAGCCAUUUUCAAUUACUUCUUCAUUUUCAGCUUGCUGCAGAUCAACAUCAAUCUCUUCUCCAUCUGGAAAAUUUGCUUCAAUUCCAUCCCAUUUCCAGCUACUUGCUUCACUGAAUUUCACAUCUCUGCUCACUACAACCUUCUUGGUCAGUGGAUCAAAGACUCUGUAUCCUUUCUUCACAUUGCUGUAGCCAACAAACACCCCAGGCAUGGACCUCCUGUCCAACUUGGUUCUUCUCUCCUCAGGUACCAACACAUAACAUAGACAGCCAAAUACCUUCAAAUGAGAGACAGAUGGUUUCUGUGCAAACCAGGCUUCAAAGGGAGUUUUUCCUUUGACUGCAUUAGUUGGCAACCUAUUCAACAGGUAAAUAGCUGUAUUCACAGCUUCAGCCCAAAAAACAUUAGGCAUUUUAGCCUCAAAUAACAAACACCUAGCCAUAUCAAGGACUGUUCUGUUUUUCCUUUCACAAACACCAUUUUGCUGUGGUGUGUACACAGUAGUCAAUUGGUGUUGAAUUCCAGCAUCAUCACACAAUUUUUGAAACUUCUGAGAUACAUACUCAGAACCAUUGUCAGACCUCAAACAUUUUAAUUUGCAAUUUGCUUGGUUUUCGACCAAGGCUUUAAAUUUGCAGAAAGAGUCAUAAACAUCUGACUUAUGCUUCAAAAAAUUUACCCAACAGAACCUUGAAUAAUCAUCAAUGAAGAGUACAAAGUACCUGCUGCCAUUUAAGGAGGUAGUCUUCAUUGGUCCACAGAUGUCUGUAUGAAUAAGCUGAAGCUUCCCUUGUGCUCUCCAUGCCUUGUUGACUGGAAAGGGUAAUCUGGUCUGUUUGCCUAGCUAACAGACCUCACAUACAGCAUCCUUUGGCUCAAUUUUGGACAUAUCACUGACCAAAUCCAUUUUGUGCAGCAUGCUCAGUGAAUUGUAGUUCACAUGCCCCAUCCUCCUGUGCCACAAGUCUGUCUCAUCAGACUGAGAUGCGUAUGCCUUGGCUUGCAGUUGAUUCACAUCCACAAUGAAGGUUCUGUCUUGCAUAGCCACUGUAGUCAACACUUCACCAGCAGCAUUUUUGAUCAAACAGUUUUUGCCUUCAAAAAUCAGAGAGUAACCCUUCUCCAAUAGCUGGCCAACACUUAGCAAGUUUUGGUCAAUGUCAGGUACAUAGAGAACCUCUGAAAUGGUUUUAAUACCUGACUUAGUGCUUAUCAAAGCCUUGCCUUUCCCUUUUGCCUCUAGCAGCUCACCAUUGCCAAUUUUGACUUUGGACUUGAAGGUGGUGUCAAGCUCCUUAAAUAUACUCUUCUUAGAAGCCAUAUGGUGGGUACAUCCACUGUCAAUCAACCAUAUUUUACUAACUUUGCUCGAGCUUGCAAAGCAUGAUGCUGAAAAGACAUGCUCUUCUGGUGAUUCAACCUCUUUUGCAGCUUGAGCUUGGCUUUGAAAUUGUGGUUGUGGUUUUGGCUUGCUCUUACAGACCUUUUCAAUGUGGCCAAAUUGCUUGCAGGCUCUACAUUGAAUGUCUGGUCUGUACCAGCAGUAUUUCUCAAGAUGAGUAGUCUUCUUGCAAUGGACACAAGGUGGGAACUUCCUUUUGACAGGUUCUUUCUUCUUCUUCUCAGUCCAGGGCUUCUUGCCUUUGGCAUUUAAGUUUGCACUUGAGCUUUCUCUGCUUCUAGCCUGAAAAGCUCCUUCAUAGUGGUCCUCCUGCCUAUUUGCCAUUCUCUGCUCUUGAGCAUAGAGAGCAUUUAUAAGCUCUGUCAAAGGGAUUGUUGACAAGUCCCUUGAAUCUUCCAGAGAAGAAAUUUUUGCUUCAUACUUCUCUGGCAAGGUUGUUAUGACCUUCUCAACCACUCUUUGGUCACUGAAUUCUUCCCCAAGCAGCCUUAUGUUGUUGACAGUAGCCAUGAUUCUGUCAGCAUACUGCUUGAUGGUUUCUGAGUCCUUCAUUUUGAGAUUUUCAAAAUCUCUUCUCAUGUUGAUCAGCUGCUGUUGCCUGGUCUUGUCAGACCCCUGAAACUCCUCCUUGAGUUUGUCCCAGGCCUGCUUUGGAGUGUCACAAGCCAUUAUUCUUGUGAAAAUAACAUCAGAAACUCCACUUUGAAGGCACGACAUAGCCUUAUACUUCUUGGCACAGUCUUCAUUGUGCUGCCUAAUCUGGGCUAUAGUCGGGUUGGCUCUUAGUGGUGGUGGCUCAGUGUCAUUGAGAACAACAUUCCACAGGUCGUGUGCCUGCAGGUAUGUUCUCAUUUUCACUGCCCAGAUGUUGUAAUUUUCUCCAGCAAAGACAGGUGGAGGAGGUGGUGUAAAACUCAUUUUUCAGCAAGCAAAACAACCUCUUCUUCUUUUGUUUCAAACACAAUUUGCUUAGUGACAGUGUACAACCAAGGCCCUCAAAGACUGAAAGCUCUUGAUACCAUUUGUUGGAACAAUGGCAGUAGCAAAGAAAGCAAAAACGAAUGAAACAAAACAAAAGAAAAAGAACUCAGCAAGAAAAUUUGUAACUGAAAAGUCAUCAUAGUUUCAUUCAAAUUUUGAAUAUAUGAAGAUUACAAAAGUAUUUGACAGUUACCUACUAAUUUAACUGCUCUUACUUAAUACUUACUAAAAAUAUAGCAACUUGUAUACCAAAGAAAGCUGGCAUACCAGCUAUUACAUCAGUCAAUCUUUCCUACUAACUUAGCUAACUCAUUACAAAGAUUUAGGCUAAGUUCCAUAGGAACAAAUAUUCAAAAAAUAAUUUUAUAACUGAACCAACUCCAUUUCUUUGCUACAAAACAGUAUAGCAGCUAAAAUUGUACAAUUUUCUGCUGUUGGUCUUUUGACCAAUUUGUUGCUGUUGGUUCUUUGUUGCAAUGCAGGCCACGGCUUCAACACUCUCCCUCUCCAUUUGGGAAUUCUGUUUUCAAGAGUGGUCAUAUUGAGAUUGUAUAUGGAUCAGUCAAAACUCUAAUGGAGUUGGAAGGUGCCUUUGGAAUGACACCUCAAGAUGUUGAUAAUGCAGUUCGAUCUCAUAAACAUCAUCAUAAACAGGUAGUUGUGUGUACAUAUUACAUUUCUAUAGCUAUGUUUUUAUUAAUAUUUAAAAUUUUGAAUUAACAUAUUUAAUAAACCUACAAUACAAUGGGCUAACGUGGCGGCAUGGCAGAAGCAAAUCAAAGAAUUGUUGGAAGAAAUUGAGAAUGAUCAAGUGGCGGAGGAACCAGUUCAUCACUUUACCGUACGAAAUAAUUCUAUAGAAAGUUUGGAGAAGACAGGAAAUGCUCAUUUAGUAGCUGCAGCACUUAUAGCCACCGUCGCAUUUGCAGCAGCAAUAACUGUUCCUGGUGGUUUGGAGAGUGAAAAAGGGUCAAAUCGAGGCACUCCCAUUUUGAUUCAAGAGGCAGCCUUUAAAGCAUUUGUUGUAACAAAUGCAAUGGCCUUUAUUUUCUCUGUUUCUGCCCUCACCACCUACUUUGCGGUUCUGGAUCAUCUUUUUACACGAUUUAUUUUUUGGCGUGAAGCAAUAAUUUUAAAUCGAACUUGGUCUGUUUCUAUGCUCCUUAACUAUGCAACGCUUGCAAUGGUAAUUGCUUUCAGCACGGGUAGUUAUGUGGUCUUAAAACCUUCCCACGAACUUGCCAUUGUUUCAUAUCUCAUAUGCCCUGCCUUUUUACUUUGUAAGUGGACAGCUUUGUUUGUAAUUUUGAGUCAUUCAAUACAUAUUUAAAAUAUAAAUAUGAUAAUAUUACUUUAUGGAUUAUUACAAUGUUGUUUCGAUUAUUAUAAAUUCAAAAAUAUUUUAUUUCCUUUUAAUAGUUUUUCAAAUAUUAAAUAUAUAACGCAAAAUAUAUAUAUAUAUUUUGUUUCUCAUGAAAAAUAGAUAUCAAUCAUGCUUUUCAAGUUUUCAUUAUUGAAAACAAAAUUUUAUUUCUAGUUAUCAAACUUGAUUUUAAAUUUUCAAAAAAUAGAAAAUAAAAAUAUUUUCAGAAACCUAACAAAGCUUAACUUUUUUUUUUGUUAAUAUACCAUUUGGUAUUUGAGUUAGUUUUAUUGUUCAAUUUGAUAAUUAAUUUCGGCUUCAAUAUUUAAUUUGAUAUCUAAACCAAAUGGUUUCAUAAGGCCUAAUAAAUAUUUGACAGGUCUACUCUAAAAAAUAGACGUGGGUAUUCUAAUUGAGACAAAAAAAAAAAAAAGAAGAAGCUCAAGUAUUAAAUUGAACUUUUUUAAAGUUAAACUCGGAUACUUAACUAUGACAAAAAGAAACUCAAGUAUCAAAGUAAAAAAAUUAAGUACAAAAUUGAACAUUCAAACCAAAUUCAUAUACAAAAUUAUAAAAAAUAAUCUUUUAAUACUAAAUUAAAAUUUGAAGUGAAAUUCAAGUAUCAAAUAAUAUAUUAACUCUUCUUUUUCUCUUAGAUCCUCACCUUGAAAAAAGCUAAUUAAGGUUAUUUGUUUUACAUUUACAACUUAAAAUUUUCAUAUAAAUAGAUUCUGUAUUUAUAAAAAUUUAUUUUUAUUAAAGAUUAAAUAAGAUUUAAAUGGUGUGUUGUUCUAAAGUUCACAAAUUUUUAUUUAAAAUAAUUACAUAAAAGUAAUAAAAAUUCAAAAUUUCACACCAACAAUAUAAAGUUAAAAAAUCACACAUAAAAAAUAGCAUUGCUAAAGAUUCUGCUUUACUAAAUUGUUUAAGUAAGGAAUUAUACAUGCCAUGGUGCUUUCUUUGUACCAAUGAUCUCUUUGGAUGGGUGAUGUGUUUAUUUACGAUUAGUAUAAAAAUAACAAUGUAAUACCUCAAAUUCGGUCUAGACGUUAUGACCGAAUAGGACUACAAGAGUUCAUCCAUCCAAUCACACCAAUAUGUGGCGGUGUGCCACUCAUAAAUAUGUAGCUGAGCUUCCAUAUAGAAAUUUGCUCUAGUCGCCAUAUAUUUGCGGUAAAAACUGUCAUAUAACACUUCCUCUAUUUUAUCAUAACCCAACUCAAUGCAAAUGUAAAAUCACGUUAACAUUCAUACAUAUAAUAUAGAUCGUAUGGCAUGCAUGCAUAAAUAGAUAUUAUACAAAGCAUAACACAACACAUAACUUAUACAGAUCAUAACAGAUUGAGAUUAUGCUGCACACAGAGGUUGCAAUUUUGUCGUGGAAGAACUGUUAAAAAGGGAUGUAUCAGCUGCCUAUGUAAGUGACAAAAAGAGGGGGAUGACACCCCUUCUUAUGGCAGCCAAGCAAGGUUAUCUUUUAACAGUUUCAAAGAUUCUCUCUUUUAUGUCCAGAUUGUUGUGAAAAAGUCGACAACAAAGGUUUGAAUUUACUUCAUUAUCAGGCUUUUAGAGUGUCAUCUUUUCAAGCUUGGUGGUAUUGGGAUUGCAUAUGGAUCGGUCAGAAAUUUAAUGGAGUUGGAAGGUGCCUUUGGAAUGACACCUCAAGAAGUUUAUAAUGCACUUCAAUAUGAGAAACAUCAUCAUAAACAGGUUUAUAAUCAAUGAUUUUUUUAUAUCUCAUCCGCACUUCAUUUUGGUGGCCUCCUCCACAUGGAUGGUUAAAGUUUAAUGUGUGUGGGAUUGCUAAAGAAGAUAGAGCAGGUUGUCGAGGUGUCUUGAGAGAUAAGGAGGGUGUCGCAAGAGCAUUAUUUUCUGGUUCAGUUGCAGCAAAUGAUGCCGAUGUGGCUGAGAUUGGUGCGGUGAAGAUUGCUCUGUAAGUAUUUUUUAGCUAUGAACUGGAAGAUUAAUGAUUCUUUAUUUAUUGAACUUGGUUCAUUGGUGGUGUUUUCUUGGUGUGCUAACAAGGUAAUGAGACCAUGGUCUCUUCAAGCAAUUUUUGCAGGUAUUGAAAAUGACAUGUUAAAGGCCGGAAAUGUUGUAUUCUCAUUGGCGGAUAAGAAAGGUAACGAGAUGGCAUCUUCCUUGGCAAUUGCAGGUUUUAAUCGGGUGAAAAUGUUUAAAGCUUGGUGAUGAAUUUUUGUUUUGUUGCAUUCAUAGGUUUAUUAGAGUUGGAAUGCGUUUUACUUUUGAUUGCUGUAAUACUGAAAUUUUUGUUGUUGUUCUGUUCGUCUUUGACAACAGUACAGCUCGAAUGGAGCCAAAAAAAAAAAAAAAAAGGGAAUGUUACAUCUUUGUAUAAGCAUUACUUUAAUUUUCAGUUAUAAUUAAAAAUUAGUUUGACAAAUCAUUGAAAAAUAUGAGAAUUUUAAGUUUAAGAAAAACACAAAGUUUUAUUUAAAAGUGGGAAGUCGUCCUCAACUUUUCUAGUUAGCUGCGAUUAGACACAUUUAAAAUCAAAAUUCUUUUUUAAAAAGAUAAAAUUGAGUUUACAAUAUAAAUCCAAACAAAAAUGUUUAGGUUAAUUAGAGAAUUUGUUAUACGAAAGGAAGAUUUUAGCAUCCUCAUGACGCCAAAAAUUAAUUCCUUGUUAAAUAUGUGUUGUCUACAUUCGUAAAUUAAAACUCAUAUCUUGGUUUUUGAUUAUGAUCCAAUUUUUUGAUAAAUUAAAAAUAAAUAUUAAAUGAGUGAAUCAAUUUUUUAAUAGCAAAACAAAGAUAAUGAUCAAGAUGUAGCAUUUUCAAAAUUCAGGGGCCCUUUUUGAGAUUUUCCAUUUAUUUUUCAUCAUGUUUAAAAGAGAAAAGUUAUAAAUUUUGAAGUCAGUAGCCCAAUAUUUAUUAAGCCCAAAUCAAAUAUUAGCUCAAAGUUCAGAAGCAUUCGAAUUUUAAAAUUGUGAAAUUACAUUUAAUAGAAAGCAAUAACAUUUCAAAAGCUAAUAAAUAUUAACAAAAAUCGGAUCCGAUAUCAACAACAUAAAAUUUGAUAUUAUCAUGUAAGCCGCUAUUUUUAAAUAUUUAAUGUUUUAGUCAAUAUUUUUGUUAAAAAAAUCAAUUUGAUUGCUUUUGAAAGGUUUAUGGCUAAAUUCGAGUCUUUUUUUAAAAGAUUGAUGACCAAAUUUAGCUCAAGAAAAGAAUAAGGGCCAAAUUGAUAAAAAAAAUUUACAUAAAUACUACGAGCUAAUUUUAUCAUUAUGCCUAAUGAAAAUUAAGUUGUAUACUUUUAUGAUAGUAAAAAAAAAUGUAAUUUCAUAAUUUUAAUAGCUUAAAUCUUUAUAAUAUUUAAAAGAUUAAAUCAAAUAUUUAUAAUUUUUAGAAGGUCAAAAUAUAAUUUUAUCAUUAUUAAUUUAAAAUUUUGUAAAUUAUAGAUAGGUUAAAAAGAGAGACCUAUUGUCCCCUUGGCUCCACCCCUAAACCCAUACGUUUUCAUCCAACUUUGAAAGUCCUUUCAAGCUUUCCAAUCUAUUAUAUUUGAUGUCUCAACGAUCCUAACUCUCGACCAAAUAAUCUUUUUCACUAUUUUUAAACUAAUAUACUUAGGAUUGAGGUAGAAUAAGGACAUGGUGAACUCCAAAAGUAAAUUAAUUUUUAAAGGGAUUUAAGACUAAUUCAUUUUGUGUCAAGUCUACAGUAUUAUUAGUUCAUAUUAACACAUCUCUGUCUUCACUUGAAAGUUAAUCUUACUCCGGCACAAUCAAGACAAAUUAUGUCUCAUUAUUAGAUUUUAGACAACGUAUAAAUCUCUUUCUCUUCGUAAUUCUAUAGAUUACAAGUCAUGUAUUUAAAUUAUCGACUAAUGGAAAUUGUCUUUUGCAUACAAAACUAAAUUUGUGAUGCAACUCCGAAUUAAUUUAACAUAGGAAAAGAAGGGAGUGCGGCUUCCAUGCAGCAACGACCAAAGCCAAAGAGAAGGCGUGCUGCCUAAUUUCUUGCCCUUCUCAUCCACACAAUUUCUUGACUUUUCUUGUGUUUCUCAUCCACACAAUUAAUUUAUAUUUUAGUAACACAUUUUGAUUUUGUUUCCCUUGUAAAUAUUUAAAAAUAUAUAAAUCUAAGUAUUUACAUGUUUGAUAAAUAAAUUGUUUGUAUAAAAAAAGUGAAUUUUAAAUUAUGUCAUAAUAGUUACAAUAUUAAUGGUUUGCGAAAUUUAAUUAAAAUUAAAAUUCGUUUUUAUAAUUAAACAAAUUAAAAUUUAUGUUUCAUAUUGCAAAUUAAAUUAAAGUUAAUACAUGAUUUUGAUUUUUAUUUCUUUGCAUUUUCGUGAAAAAAGUAUUGACUUCACCAAAAAGAGCUGGAGAGCUCAUUUUCUUCCAUUCUUCUCCUUCUUUGCAGUUUCCUUAAACCCGAAUUUCACCAUAAAAAACUCCUAAAAAUGAUGGAUUAGGUGCAUCUACUUUUCAACAAUUGUUAGUAUUUUAACCAUCUUUAUUAACUUUGUUUUAGGGCCAUUUGCUUUCCUUUUCGUUUCAAUUAAGUCAUCAUAUGAUAAUAAUAUUUAAUGUAAGUUAUACAAAUAGCCAUUUAAUUAUUAGCACAUUAUUAUUUUGGUCACUCGUGUUUAAAAAAGUUUAAUUUAGUCACUAAUAUUAUGGACAAUUGAUAUUUUUGUCAUUCCUCGUUCAAUUAUUAAUAGAAUCUUGAUGCAACUUUUUUAUUGGCAUAUUAAUAAAUUUAGCUUUUCAAUCUCUAUAAAUUUUAUUAAUUUGAUCUUAAUUCUAAAAAAUAAAUUUAACCCUUAACUUUACACAUUAUGUUAAUUUAAUCUUGAUUCUUAAAAUUUUAAAAAAUAAAAAUAUAUAUUUAAAAGUUUUUUUUUUAUAAAAUACAUAUACAAAUUUAUAAAAUGCAUACAAAAAUAUAAAAAUAUUUAUAAAUAAAUGAAUACUAAUUUUUUUCUUCAAAGAAAUCCUUCAAAGAAAAUCUAGGGUUUAGUCUGAAUGAGUCAAUAUUAACUAACAUGACCAAAAUUUAGUCUGUAACAGUUUUCUGAGCUACCAAACACCGUCUUAGAAUAAAAAAGAGCAUAGGGCAGCAUUAACUUGACCACGAAGAGCUCUAGACCCCAUUUUCUUCCAUUAUUUUCUUUAAUUCUUCUCCUUCUUUGCAGUUUCCUUAAAACCAAAUUUCACCAUAAAAAACCUCCUACUUUAUUGACCUCACUUCUAACCCAAUAUAUCACUAUUAUUAUUACUAAAGUGUUCAACCAUAUAUGGUUGCCAGUAGUUGACUUGAAUGCAGGAUUUGCAAGCAAGUAACUAACUGGUAUGGCAUUCGGUAAAUUUCUGAUUUUGCAGUACUUUUUUCUUGAGCUUCGAAUGUUUCAAGCUAAUUAAUUCAAUUUUGUUUGGUGUUAUCCAGGAAGAAAUAGAUCAACAAAAAUGGGACCUGAAGAGCCUGAACAGAACAUCACUCACAUGGAUGCUUCGCUGUAUAAGGCAGCAGUAGAAGGCAACAUUGAAGAAUUCAAUAAUAAGCAGGGGCCUCAGCUUGAGUCGCUAAAGACCCCAAACCAUGACAACGUGCUCCAUCUUAACUUGGCAACCCAGGAGAAUGCUACCUUGCUUUUUAACAUAUUUCUCUCAAUAAUCAAAUUCUUCCCCGUACUAUAUGGAUGCUUCUCUCCGCCUAUGCGUGAUUUAAUUACUAUUAUAAGAGGAGAAAAAAGAUCAGAUUUUAUCGAACAAAUUCUCAGCAAGUGUCCGUCAAUGCUACUCCAAACGAAUGCUAAAGGCCAAACUCCUUUGCACGUUGCAGCAAGGUAUGGUCAUUCUGCUAUUGUGAAACUUCUAAUCAAGUCUUGUGCAAAAGCUAGAGAUGGAGAUUUAGAGAAGCUGGGAAUGGAUGAAGUAAAUGCAGUGAGGGGGAUGCUGAGGAUUAGGGAUCAGGAAUCCAACACGGCUUUACAUGAAGCAGCACGAUGUGGCAAUGUUGAAGUGGUAAAAGCAUUGUCGGAGUUUGAAGAACCUGAUUUUCCGUAUUCUGCCAAUAAAAAACAGGAGACUCCACUUUACAUAGCUGCUAGGAGAGGAGACGGAGGCAUGCUGAGUAUACUAUUAGAUAAAUCAAAAUCAACAGCUCAUGGCGGCCCCCACGGUAGAACAGCUUUGCAUGCAGCAGCUAUGGCUGGAGAUGCAGGUAUGUUGUUGAGUUGGUUCCAAUUUUUUUAAAAAAAAAUUUGAAAUAAAUAAAGAACAGGUCUAUUGGCAUUUUUUUUUGCUUGGAUUUAGAGGCAAUAAGGAUAAUAUUAGAGAAGAAGGGGAAUUUGACAAAAGAAAGAGAUGAAGAUGGACACACCCCUCUUCAUUAUGCUGCACACUUGGGUUCUAGAUUAUCAGUUGUGGAAGAACUGUUAAAAAGGGAUGUUUCAGCUGCCUACAUAGGUGAUAAAAAGAGGGGGAUGACACCCCUUGUUAUGGCAGCCAGGCAAGGUUAUGGUGGAACAUGUUCAAAGAUUCUCUCUUUAUGUCCAGAUUGUUGUGAAAAAGUGGACAAAAUAGGUUUGAAUUUACUUCAUUAUAUGGCUUUUAGAGACUCUGUCUUCCCACUAGGGAGUUCUAUUUUCAAGCGUGGUGGUGCUGAGAUUGUAUAUGGAUCAGUUAGAAAUCUAAUGGAGUUGGAAGGUGCCUUUGGAAUCACACCUCAGGAAGCUCAUAAUACACUUCGAUCUAAGAAACAACAUCAAAAACAGGUGUGUGUAUAUAUAUUGCAUUUCCAUGGCUAUGGUUUUAUUAAUAUUUAAGUUUUGAAUUAACAUAUUCAAUAAACCUACAAUACAACCGGUUAAUGUGGGUGGCAUGACAGAAGCAAAUCAAAGAAUUGUUGGAAGAAUUGGAGAACGAUCAAGUGGCAGAGGAACCCGUUCGUCACUUUCGCUUACCAAAUGUUUCUACAGAAAGAUUGGAGGCUAUAAGAAAUACUCAUUUAAUAGUGGCAGCACUUAUAGCCACCGUCACCUUCGCAGCGGCAAUAACUGUUCCUGGUGGUUUGGAGAGUGAAAAAGGGUCAAAGCAAGGCACUCCCUUUUUGAUUCAUGAGGCAGCCUUUAAAGUAUUUGUUGUAACAAACGCAUUGGCCUUUAUUUUCUCUGUUUCUGCCCUCUUCAUCUACUUUGGGGUUCUGGAUAUUCUAUUAUCAAGAUUUAAAUUUUGGCGUCAAACAGUUUUAUAUCGAACUCGGUCUGUUUCUGGGCUUCUUGGCUAUGCAACGCUCGCGAUGAUGAUUGCUUUCAGCACAGGCAGUUAUGUGGUCUUAAAACCUUCCCACGGACUUGCCAUUGUUUCAUAUCUCAUAUGCCCUGCCUUCUUUUUCGUUCUGCAUUUGACUAUUUUUGAUUACUAUAUUACUAAGAUAUUAUUUCAUCGUUGAUUACAAUAUUUUUCCAAUUCCUAAUGUCAAUGUUACCUCUUUGAAGAAAUAUUACUUUAAUAUUAAUAAUCUCCAUUUAAUUGUAAUUAAUAUAAAAUUAUUAGUUGCUAGACAUACAAUUUCAAAUAAAGUAAAAUUUAUUAAAUAUCAAAGAAUAAUAAAGAUGAUGUAAUUAACUCUCGGUUAUAAUUAAAAAUUAGUUGCAUUAUAAUAUGCAUGCCCUGUAAUUUUGAUAAUUUUGAUUCUUUUUCUAAUAAUUUAGUAAUUUAAUGAUGUUUAACAACUUUGUUUUCGCACGUUAUAUAAUUUUAUUUAAUAUUUUAUAAUUAAAUUAAAAUUUUAUGUAUUCAAAAUAACCUAAACUUACCUAACCUUUGAAUUAGAUUCAAUCUUAUAAUAUUUGUAAUUAAUAUAAAGUAGUAAACUAUUCUUAGUCAUGAAUUAAUUUCUUCCUCCAAUACUUGCAUGCAAAACCAAAGACAAUGAGAUUAAAAAAAAAAAAAAAUUUAAAGUUUUUGCGAUUUGGACUUUCAAUAUUGUAACUUUAGCAUUUCGACCAUAACUUAAACUACAAAUCUCUAUUUUGAGCCCAUAAUAUAGCAUCUAAUUAAAAUUAUUUCACAAAUCAAGCACCAAAACCUCAUGAACGCAUCUAAAAAUAGCCUGGAAGUUUGACACGAAAGUUGCUAAGAAAUCUUGAAAAAAUCUGCUUUAUAUAAAUAGAUAAUUUUUUGUAUUUUCUCUAUUAUAUUAUCUUUGCCUUAUAAACAUACAUUAUUAGGUUAAAACUUGAGGAGAGACCUAGACAUAGUCACCUUAGCUUUAUUUUGUUUUUGCGUUUUAUUUUCUUUAUGAGUUUUUAAAUUUUUUUUCUAGUUUAAGGUCAAUCAAAGUUUGAUUCAAUAAAUUUAUGAGACAUGAUUUGCACUUUAAUUCUUUUUUGUUCUUUGAUAUUCAUGCAUCUUCUGUUAUAAUUACAAUUGCUCAAGUUUAUUACUAUUGAGUCAUCAACUAGAACUAAUUUAUUAAACACAUUGAAGAUAUCAUUAUAUCGAUGAUCGAACUUACAAAAUCAAUUGUAGAUUUUACCUUUGGGUAAAACCUUUCAACAUUGAAUUUCCUAAAAUUUUUAAUUAUUACUUUCUUUGAUUCAGCUUUUAAUUUAAAUUUAGUUUUUUUAUUUUAUAAAACCCUUUUUUUUAUUUACCUUAGUGGUUCUUACUUAAGGAAUAUAAUUAUCACUAAUAUCUAUAUAUGUGGAUAUAAUUUUGCUUCUUGUUUUCUAUUAAUUUAUAUGUUCAAAUUGAUUUUAUUUUUAUAGGUCUCGAUAGUCUAACAACUCUCUUGGAUCUUCUUGUUGAGCAUUUUUGAACUUCUUAAACCUUUGGCUUCAUUUUGACCUGUAUUUAAAAACUUUGUUUAAGUUUCAAGAUAAAAAGGUUAUCUACCAUUGCAACUCUUCUAUAGUAGUGUUAUGAUUAGUGGACAUUACUUCUGUCACUUGUAAGGAAACACUCUUUUUUCCUCUACUUCAAUUUUCUUUUUAUUUAAUCUAGAUUGAUCUCAUAGGUUUGUAGAAAUCCAAUUGAUUCAUCAAUUCACAUAUUAUCAAUAUCUUUGGCUUCUCCAAUGAUUGUGACUUUGAUGUUGAAUUUCUUUAGAAAAGAUCAAAUCACACAAUUUGGCAUAGAACUUGUCAAUUGUUUCAUUAUCCUCCAUUUUUAGAGUUUUAAACCUUGUUAUGAGCAUUUGUAAUUUAGAUUGCUUCACAAUCUCUAUAACACCCCUAAACCUCGCCUGAACGUUAUGGCUGAAUCUAGAAUGUUACGAAGAAGGGUUUUGAAACCGAUCUUUACAUGAUAAAAAAAAACCUCGUAUGGUAUCUUACUAGAAAAGAGUCCUUAUUGUAUAAAACAUAUCCAUUUAACAUUGUCUUUACUAAAACCGUUGAUAGUUUGUUCUUUAAGAAAAACUUAAUUCGCGACAGAAAUCUUAAGUGUCAUUAUAUGUCGAAAACCAAGUUUGUGUUUUCCAAAACGUUUGUUUGCAUAAAACCAUUAUUUACGAAAAAUUGUUUGUUGUGCGUUGCAGAAAACAUAAUCAAACCAAAAACAACAACAAAAACCAAAAGAAAUCAAAAAGUCCGGAGAGUCCCAAAAUUACAAAACUCUCAAGAAAAACCAUAAAUUAAAAUAAAACCAAUAAUUAAAGGAUAGUUUCCAUACUAGUGGUCAUCGCUGAGCUUCCGUUGCACCGACCUGCCUAUGUCUGAAGAUUACCUGAAUAGAGUAGACAAACAAAUGUGAGUUUUCAAAAACUCAAUGUGUAACUUAACAGAGACAUGCAUACACAUAAACUCAGAUUUCUCAUGUAGCAAAUCAGAUACGGGCAUAAGUCAUUAACAGAAUCAUAUAAUAUCAUAAUCGGAUUAUUAGAAACAUACAGAUAUCCAAAGUCCUACCCCCAUCCUCUACACACUAUCUCUGACCAUCCCAACACACCAUAUGGGGUAUAAAACACCCACUCAUCCCUACACACCACAUAGUGUCUUUACAACACUUAUCAAGAAUAGUAUGCAGUCAAGCUGCCAGUAUAUCGGCGAAAUGUCACCUCACAGAACACUUCCUCCACAUAUACAAAUCCCACCCCAUACAUAGAUACAGAUAACAGAUAACAAAUAUAACAGAACUAACAUGUCCCGCAUGCUCAUAUACAAAUAUCAUACAUGUUAUUAUGAAAUAGUCAAAUCAUACAUAUCAACUUCUAAAUACUCAAAUUAGUCUAUCAAAGUAGCAGAUAUCAUACAUUAGGGUUUGUUAUUAUGUAAUGUAUUGAAAUAAUCAUAAUCUAAACUUAAAAUAAUAAAAUAAAUUUAAAUAGCAUCGGAUGCUUAAACUAAAAUCAGAAAGAAAUAUAAAAUUAAACAAAACAUUGACUUUGUUAUACAAUAGUUUAAGUAUCAUUAAAUAAUAUUUAUAAAUAUAAAAAAGUCAAAGUCUUUUUAAAAUACUAAUUAUUUAAUUAGUUAAUGAGUGUUGCAUUUGAUCUCAUGUUAUAUAUAUUAUAAUAUGCAUGUGCUACUUGCCUGGAAAGGUUAAAAUUAGUUGUAUAAUUAAUUAAUAAAUAUUUGAAACAUUAUUUUUCUUGAAAGAUGGACUGAUUUUUAAUAGCUUCAUUAAUUAAUUAAAAUCUAAUAAUGCAACUUUGUUUUAAGGCCAUUUGCUUUCCAUUUCCUUACAAUUAAGUCAUUCAAUAACAUUUUAGUAGCGUAUUUCUGUUUUGUUCAUUCAGAUUUAAAAAAUUAUAUGUUAAUCACUUAUCGGUUGUUGAUAUUUUGGUCACUUUUCCGUUAAAUCAUUAAUAGAAUGUUAAUGCAGUUUUGUUUUUAUUGGUAUAAUAAUAAAGUUAGCUCUUUAAUGUUUAUAGAUUCUAUUAAUUUAGACCUAAUUUUAAAAAAAAACAAAUUUAACCCUUAACUUUACAUAUUAUGCCAAUUGAUCUCAAUUCUUAAAAAUUUAAAAAAUAAAAAAGAUAUUUAAAAUUUGUUUCGAUAAAAAUACAUACAAAAUUAUAAAAGUUAUAAAAUACAUACAUAUAAAUAAAUGAGUAUUCAAUUCUCUCCUUUAAAGAAAAACACGAAAAAGAACUUAUAUAAUUUAUCAUUUGUUUUGUUGAAAAUGUGGUAAAUCUUAGGGAUUUUCAUUGUUGGAAGGGUGAAAAGAAAAUCUAGGGUUUAGUCUAAAUCACUCAAUAAUAACUAACAUCAUCAAAUUUUGGAUGGACAUAAUGCAUUGAAAUAAUCAAUAAUCAAAAUUGACAUCAUAAAUACAAUCAACUUCAUAAUUAAAAUAUAUCUAAAUUUAAAUAGAUAAAACUAAAAUCAGAAAUAAAUAUGAAAUUAAACAAAACACUUACGCUGUUAUAUUGUAGUUUAAGUAUCAUUAAAUAAUAUUUAUAAUUAUAAAUAAGUCAAAGUCUUUUUAAAAUACUAAUUAAUUAAUUAGUUAAUGAGUGUUCCAUGUGAUCUCAUCUUAUAUUAUAAUAUGAAUAUGGGAAUGUGCUCCUUGCCUUGAAAGGUUAAUAUUAAUUAAUAAAAAUGUGAAAAAAUUAAAACUCGCCAUGUGCCUCCAUAAUUAGAAUUUAAUAAUGCAACUUUGUUUUACGGAUUUGCUUUCCAUUUCCUUACAAUUAAGUCUUUCAAUUAUAUUUUAGCAGUGUUUUACUGUUUUGGUCCGUUUAUGAUCAAACUCACAGAAACAAAGUUAAAUUAGUUAGGGGGUUACAAUCUCCAUGCCUUCAUGGGCAAUCUCAAAGAUUUCAAGCUAUAUAUAUGUGUCACUUGUCUUGAUAAGCCACAAGGUGUCUUGGAAUAAGUAAGGCAUUUUGUAAUUUUUCUUAAUUUGUAAUCUUUUUUUCGUUUAUCUUUGAAUGUUCCACGGUAAUUGAAUAUUAAUUGGUGUUUUCAAGGAAGAAAGCUGUGCAAUAGAUCAACAAAUAUGGGACCAUCGUUAAACGACAUUGUUAUUUCCUCCGGUGAACCUGAGAAGCCUGCAGAGAACAUCACUUGCAUGGAUGCUUCAUUGUAUAAAGCUGCAGCAGUAGGCAAAAUUGAAGAAUUCAAUAAUUACCAGGGGCCUGAACUUGAGUCGCUGAAGACCCCAAACCAUGACAACGUGCUCCAUGUUAACUUGUCAACCCCUGAGCGUAUCUGGCAACGUACCAGAUUUGAUUUUGUCCUACAAAUUCUUGACAAGUGUCCAUCACUGCUACUCCAAACAAAUGCUAAAGGUCAAAUUCCACUGCAUGUUGCAGCAAGGUAUGGAUAUUCUACUAUUGUACGACAUCUAAUCAUGUUUUGUGCAAGGGUUAUUUAUAAAGAUUUAGAGAAGCUGGGAAUGGAUCAACUGAAUGCAGUGAGGGGGAUGAUCAGACAUACGGAUCAAGAAUCCAAUACGGCUUUACAUAUAGCAACACGGUAUGGCCAUGUUGAAGUGGUGCAAGCAUUGCUGGAGCAUGAAGACCCUGAUUUUCCAUAUUUUGCCAAUAUAAACCACGAAACUCCACUUUACUUAGCAGCUAGGAGAGGAAGUCGGCGCUUGCUGAGUAUAUUAUUAGAUAAAUCAAAAUCAACUGCUCAUGGUGGCCCCCACGGUAGAACAGCUUUGCAUGCAACAGCUAUGGUUAGAGAUCCAUGUAAGUUAAGUUCCAAUUUUUUUUUUUUUGUUUGAAAUAAACAGAGAAUAGAACCAUUGACUUUUUUUUUUGGGCUUGAAUUUAGGGGUUACAAGGAUAAUACUAGAGAAGAAAGGGAAUUUGACAAAGGAAACAGAUGAAAAUGGACACACCCCUCUUCACUAUGCUGCACACUUGGGUCACGAUGCUGUUGUGGAAGAGCUGUUAAAAUGGGAUAUAUCUGUUGCUUAUAUAGGUGAUAAAAAGUGGGGGAUGACACCCCUUCUUAUGGCAGCCAGGCAAGGUCUUUUUGGAACAGUAAGAAAGAUUCUGUCUUAUUGUCCAGAUUGUUGUGAAAGAGUGGACAAAAGAGGUUGGAAUUUACUUCAUUUUAUGGCGUUUAGAGACCUUUCUCGUGGAUUCCGCAUUUUAUUAAAGAAUGAUAAUGCUACCACGACUGAAUAUGGAUCAGUCAGAAAUCUAAGGGACUGGAAAGAUGCUAGUGGAAUCACACCUCAACAAGUUUUCAAUGCAUGUCAAUAUGAUAAGGAAGAGAAAAAGGUAUAUUUAUAUUUGUAUUUGUAUGCCUACGGCUAUGGUUUUAUUAAUAUUUGUGUUUUGAAUUAUGAUUAUAUAACAUAUAUAAUAUAAUGAUCUAUAAUAUAAUCGGCUAAUGUGGUAGGAACAAAUUGUGAAAUUGUUAAAAGAAAUUGUGAAUGAAGAAGUCGCGGAGAAACCAGUUUAUCCCAUCGGCUUGCCAAACAUAUCUGCAGAUAAAAACUUGGAGAAAGCAAGAGAUGCUCAUUUAGUAGUGGCAGCACUUAUAGUCACCGUCACAUUCGCAGCGGCAAUAACCGUUCCAGGUGGUUUGCAGAGUGAAAAAGGGUUAGAGCAAGGCACUCCCCUUUUGAUUCAUGAGGCAGUGUUUAAAGCAUUUGUUGUGACAAAUUCAUUGGCCUUUAUUUUCUCUGUUUCUGCCCUCACCACCCACUUUGGGGUUCUGGAUAAUCAAUUAUCAGGAUUUAAAUUUUUUCGUGAAACAGUUUUAUAUCGAACUCAGUCUGUUUCUGGGAUCCUUGGCUAUGCAACGUUGGCAAUGGUGGUUGCUUUCAGCACAGGUAGUUAUGUGGUCUUAAAACCUUCCCACGGACUUGCCAUUGUUUCGUAUCUCAUCUGCCCUGCCUUUUUACUCUGUAUUUGGGAAAUUUUGAAUCCUUUAAUGCAAAUGUAAAAUAUAAAUAUGAUAAUAUUACUUUAUCAUUGAUUACAAUGUUGUUCCAAUUCCUAAUAAAAAAUUAAUUUUUUUUUAAAAGAUAAUUUUGAGUCUACGAUAAAAAUUAAAAAAAAAUGUUGUUUACAUAGCAUCCUCGCGACGCUCAAAAUCGGCACCUUAUUAAAUAUGUUUUGUGUACCUUGUUAAAUUAAAAUUCAUAUCUAGGUACUUAAUUAUGAUCCAAAUUUUUGAUAAAUUAAAAGCAAAGAUAUUAAAUGAGUGAAUCGGUUAUUUAAUAGCAAAACAAAAGUAAGGAUCAAGAUGUAGCAUAUUCAAAAUUCAAGGGCCUUUCUUGAGGUUUUUCAUUUUAUAUUUUUUAUCAUUAUAAAAGAUAAAAAAGUUAUAAAUUUUGAAGUAAAUGGGCCCACAGUCCAACAUUUAUUACACAUAUGAACAGAUAAGAAAACAUUUGGGCCCAAAUCGAAUAUUAUCCCAAAGUUCAUAAACAUUUGACUUUAAAAAUUGUGAAAUUAAAUUCAAAACUAAUAAAUAUUAACAAAAAUUGGAUCCCAUAUCCACAAAUUAAAACUCCAAUUCUUGUUACUUACGGAUCCUGGACGAAAUUCGGUGUUUACAAAAGGUAUCAAGUGGCGGAGGAACUAGUUUGUCCCAUUUGCUUGCCAACUAUCUCUGCAAAAAGCUUGGAGAAGAAGGGAAAUGCUCAUUUAGUAGUGGCAGCACUUAUUGCCACCUUUGCAUUCGCAGCGGCAAUAACUGUUCUUGGUGGUUUGCAAAGUGACAAAAGGUCAAAGCAAGGCACUCCCCUUUUCAUUCAUGAGGCAGCCUUCAAAGCAUUUUAUUGUAACAAAUGCAUUGGCCUUUUUAUACUCCGUUUCUACCCUCACCAUCCACUUUGGGUUAUGGAUAAUAUAUUAUCAAGAUAUAAUUUUUGGCAUCGAACAGUUUCAAAUCGAACUCGAUUUGUUUCUGGGAUCCUUGGGCAUGCAAUGAUUGCAAUGGUGAUUGCUUUCAGCACAGGUAGUUAUGUGGUUUUAAAAUCUUCCCACGGACUUGUCAUCGUUUCAUAUCUGAUCGGCCCUGCCUUUUUCUUUGGUGUGUGGCUAAUUUUGCAUGCUUCCUUAUAUAUAUAAAAUAUAAAUGUGACAAUAUACUUUAUCAUCGAUUACAAUAUUCUUCCAAUUUCUAGUUCGAAUGUUACCUCUUUGAAUAAACAUUACUUCAAUUUUUUUUUUUGAGAUAUGUCUAUCUUAUUAAAAUUAUGAAAAAGGUCAAAAAAAAAUCACAAUUUGUGUAAAGUAAGAUUUACUAAAUAUCAAAGAAUAGUAAAGAUAUAUUGUAAUUAAUUUUCGGUUAUAAUUAAAAAUUAAUUUGACAAAUAAUUGAAAAAUAUGAGGAUUCUAGGUUUAAGAAAAACAUGAAAUGUUAUUUAAAAAUGAAAAGUGGCGAUUAAAUUUUUUGGCUAGGUGUGAUCAAACACAUUUAAAGUCAUCUUCUAAAAACAAAAUUUUGAAAAUUCUUUUUUAAAAAGAUAAUUUUGGGUCUACCAUAGAAAUUCAGAGAAAAUUAUUUAGGUUAGGGAAUUGGUUACGGAAGAUUUUGGGUCUAUCUUGUUAAAUAUAUGUUGUUUACAUUCGUAAAUUAAAAUUCAUAUCUCUGUAUUUAAUUGUAACACUCCAAAAUUGGGGCGAGGAGCAGUAAGGUUUGUUGGUUUGGGGUUAGUGGUUCGUAAGUCCUAAGUUAAUUUUUGUAUUUUAAAAAUAAAAUGAGUCUCUUGAUUUAGUGGUAAAAAAUUAGUUUACCUUUAGAUCUUGUGUUCAAAUUCUCGUGAGAGCUUUGAGGAAGUUAAUUUUUGGUUUUUAAAUUUUGUUAAAUUCUAUCACGUUUGGAUUCAAUUUUCAAUACUUCACUAAGUGAUGUAUGUAUUUGGACUAUAUGGACUUUUGUUAUGGUCCUUUUAUGAUAUUACUAAUAAUUUCUUGAUUGAGAAAAAAAAAUAUAUUACUUAUGACAUGUGGCUUCCCUUGUACCAUGUUAAAUAAUCUCUCGUGUUUGCAAGAUUUUCUAUUAUGUUCGUAUAUCAAGUGUUUAUGAAUGAAGUCAAAAAAUUUUUGUUGGGAGUCUGAAGUAAUAAUUUUAGAGGGGAAAUAAUUUUAAAUAAAUUUAAAAUUAAUUUAUCUCGUGUUUAGUUUAAUGUAUUCUUUAUCUAUAUCACUAUUUAAGAGUCAAUUCUAUUUUGAUAGCGAAGAUAAGUUAUUUUCCCUUAUUGGACAUUAGACUACAUGAUAUCCUUAUAUGAAUCACUUACUUAUCAUGUUUCCAUGAGUUAAUGGACUAUUCAUUUAAAUUACAACUAAUUGAAAUUAUCUUUUGCAUCCAAAACAAUAUUUGUGAUGCAACUUCCGAUAAAUUUAACGUAAGUAACUAAUGAGCUAAUAUUUACACAUACUAUUAGUUUACAUGUUGGUUUGAAUCCAUAAAAAUGUAAAUUUAUAUAAAUGUAAAAAAAAAUUCGACAGUUUUUCAAAUAUUAAAUCUCGUACAUUCGUUUGAAUCAUAAAAAAUAUACACUUUCUAUUUUAUUAUAGAAAAAAAAGUAUAUACCAUGUUUUUCAUGUUUUCAAAAUUUUAAUUUUAUUUAUCAAAUGUGUUUUUCAAUUUGAGAAAAAAAUAAAAAUUAGAAAAUGAAAUAUUUCUUUGAAAAUGAUAAUAGGAAAUAAAAAAAAAUAUUGUAAGGAACCGAAGGAAGCUUACCCUUUUUUUUUGGAUUAAUAUACCAUUUGGUAUUUAAAUUUGGUUCUAAUGUUCAAUUUAAUACUCAAACCAAAUGACUUCAUAUAGCUUAAUAAAUAUUUUACAUGUGUACUAUGGUAAAAAAAAACAUAAGUAUUUUAAUUGAGAUAAAAAAAAUGGGUAUUAAAAGAAACAUUGAAGCUAAAUUUAAGCAUUUAAUUAUGACAAAAGGAAAUUCAAGCAUUGAAUUGACAAUAUUUGGGUACCAAAUUAAACAUUGAAGCCAAACUUAUGUACCAAUUUGGAAAAAAAAAAUCUCGAGUACAUUAACGUUCUUCUGCUAUUAAAUCUUCUCAUUGAAUAAAGCAAAAGCUAUGAUUUGCAAAGAGAAUAAAUGGUGUGUAGGAAAAAUGUAGGGAAAGAAGAAUAAAGGGGAAAUUGUAGCUCCAUCUACUUGGACCAAAUUUUUUAUUAUAUUGAUUCCUUUUAAUGAAAAAUAAUUGUACUCAGGCGCAAAAGGUGGAAAAAAAAUUUUAGAGGGUCGAAAUUAAAUUUUAAUUUUUAUAAUAAUAAAAAUGUAAUUUUAACAUUUGAAUAGCCUAUAUAUUUAUAAUGUUUAAAAGAUUAAAUCAAAUUUUUAUCAUUUUAGGGGGGCCAAAGUGUAAUUUUAUCUUUACUAAUUUAAAUUUUUUUACUUGUACUACGAGUUGUAUUGCAUUUUGCCCCAUUUAAUUUAUAAAAAAAAAGUAAAUUAGUCAUUGUAUACUAGAUCAAAGAUCAAGUUGGUCCUUCUGAUAAACAUUAGCCCAUGUACAUUAGAAUGAGGGACACGUUGCAUGUCAUGUUUAACUAUCUAACUAUUCUGUUUGUUAUGCCCGUUUUAUUGAUAGAAAAGGAUGAAACUUUUAAUAGAAAUGAUCAGUUUACUUUUUUUAUCUAAUAAACAAUGACUAAUUUACUCAUUUUUUAAAAAGAAAAGGUAAGAUACAAUCUAAACCCUAAACCUUCAUAGUACUUUUACCUUAAUUAAAGCUCAUAGCAAGAAUAGCAUUGUUGAGGAUUAUGCUACGCGAAUGUGUUAAGGAAGAAAUUGAAAAAUGUAACGGUAGUUCUUUACGCAACACUAAAGUGUUCAAGUAAGGAAUUAUAUAUAGUUGUCACACUUGAAUGAAAGAUAUUAUAGGCAAGCAACAAAUAUGUAAGGCAUUUGGUAAAUUUCUGAAUUUGUAGUACCUUUUUUUUUUCCUUGAGCUUGGAAUGUUCCUAGCUAAUUAAUUACAUUUUGUUUGGUGUUAUCUAGGACGAAAGCUGUGCAAUAGAUCAACAAAAAUGGAACCAUCGACAAACAUCGCGCUUAUAUCCUCCGGUGAACCUGAGGAGCCUGAAGAGAACAUCACUUACAUGGAUGCUUUGUUGUACAAGGCAGCAGCAGAAGGCAUAAUUGAAGAAUUCAAUAAUCACCCAGAGCUUCAACUUGAGUCGCUAAAGACCCCAAACCAUGACAACCUGCUCCAUGUUAACUUGGCAACCCAGGAGAGUGCUGUUGACAUUGUGUACUCAUUAUUCAUAUUAUUCCCCGAAGGAUAUGUAUUAUUCCAUCAGUAUUUGAGUAUUUUCAUUAGUAUGAUAAAAAGAGAAAAGAGAUCAGAUUUUUUCGAGCAAAUUCUCAGCAAGUGUCCGUCACUGCUACUCCAAACGAAUGCUAAAGGUCAAACUCCUUUGCACGUUGCAGCAAGGUUUGGACAUUCUGCUAUUGUGAAACUACUAAUCAAGUCUUGUGCAAAAGCUAGAGAUGGAGAUUUAGAGAAGCUGGGAAUGGAUCAAGUAAAUGCAGUGAGGGAGAUGUUGAGGAUUACGGAUCAGGAAUCGAACACGGCUUUGCAUGAAGCAGCAGGGUGUGGCAAUGUUGAAGUGGUGAAAGCAUUGUUGGAGUUUGAAGACCCUGAUUUUCCGUAUUCUGCCAACAAAAAACAGGAGACUCCACUUUACAUAGCAGCUAGGAGGAGAGGAUCUGGGCGCUUGUUGACU
Molecule: long non-coding RNA, 30899 nt
Filed under: Gossypium barbadense (sea-island cotton)
Lineage: Eukaryota; Viridiplantae; Streptophyta; Magnoliopsida; Malvales; Malvaceae
Description: long non-coding RNA (GBAR_LNC015874)
Source: RNAcentral